This is a ribosomal RNA of 558 nucleotides. The stretch from base 183 to 336 matches the Rfam family "5.8S ribosomal RNA".
AUAUAACGAGUGAUUCGGGCUCGGCCGAUCCUCCCACCCUUUGUGUACCUACCUCUGUUGCUUUGGCGGGCCGCGGUCCUCCGCGGCCGCCCCCCUCCCCGGGGGGGUGGCCAGCGCCCGCCAGAGGACCAUCAAACUCCAGUCAGUAAACGAUGCAGUCUGAAAAACAUUUAAUAAACUAAAACUUUCAACAACGGAUCUCUUGGUUCUGGCAUCGAUGAAGAACGCAGCGAAAUGCGAUAAGUAAUGUGAAUUGCAGAAUUCAGUGAAUCAUCGAAUCUUUGAACGCACAUUGCGCCCUUUGGUAUUCCGAAGGGCAUGCCUGUUCGAGCGUCAUUACAACCCUCAAGCUCUGCUUGGUAUUGGGCACCGUCCUUUGCGGGCGCGCCUCAAAGACCUCGGCGGUGGCGUCUUGCCUCAAGCGUAGUAGAACAUACAUCUCGCUUCGGAGCGCAGGGCGUCGCCCGCCGGACGAACCUUCUGAACUUUUCUCAAGGUUGACCUCGGAUCAGGUAGGGAUACCCGCUGAACUUAAGCAUAUCAAAAGCCGGAAGGAAA